RNAcentral lists this ribosomal RNA (466 nucleotides) under uncultured bacterium. Its description in RNAcentral is "partial 16S ribosomal RNA". It matches the Rfam family "Bacterial small subunit ribosomal RNA", at positions 28 to 507 of the family's 1533-position model. The record is from RNAcentral.
GACGAACGCUGGCGGCGUGCUUAACACAUGCCGGUCGAACGGAAAGGCCCUGCUUGCAGGGUACUCGAGUGGCGAACGGGUGAGUAACACGUGGGUGAUCUGCCCUGCACUUCGGGAUAAGCCUGGGAAACUGGGUCUAAUACCGGAUAGGAGCCAUUUUUAGUGUGAUGGUUGGAAAGUUUUUUUCGGUGUAGGAUGAGCUCGCGGCCUAUCAGCUUGUUGGUGGGGUAAUGGCCUACCAAGGCGGCGACGGGUAGCCGGCCUGAGAGGGUGGACGGCCACAUUGGGACUGAGAUACGGCCCAGACUCCUACGGGAGGCAGCAGUGGGGAAUAUUGCACAAUGGGCGCAAGCCUGAUGCAGCGACGCCGCGUGGGGGAUGACGGCCUUCGGGUUGUAAACUCCUUUCGCUAGGGACGAAGCUUUUUGUGACGGUACCUAGAUAAGAAGCACCGGCUAACUACGUG